GAUGAACGCUGGCGGCGUGCCUAAUACAUGCAAGUAGAACGCUGAAGGAGGAGCUUGCUCUUUCCGGAUGAGUUGCGAACGGGUGAGUAACGCGUAGGUAACCUGCCUGGUAGCGGGGGAUAACUAUUGGAAACGAUAGCUAAUACCGCAUAACAGUAGAUAUUGCAUGAUAUUUGCUUGAAAGGGGCAAUUGCUCCACUACCAGAUGGACCUGCGUUGUAUUAGCUAGUUGGUGAGGUAACGGCUCACCAAGGCGACGAUACAUAGCCGACCUGAGAGGGUGAUCGGCCACACUGGGACUGAGACACGGCCCAGACUCCUACGGGAGGCAGCAGUAGGGAAUCUUCGGCAAUGGACGGAAGUCUGACCGAGCAACGCCGCGUGAGUGAAGAAGGUUUUCGGAUCGUAAAGCUCUGUUGUAAGAGAAGAACGAGUGUGAGAGUGGAAAGUUCACACUGUGACGGUAUCUUACCAGAAAGGGACGGCUAACUACGUG
RNAcentral lists this ribosomal RNA (496 nucleotides) under uncultured bacterium. RNAcentral's name for it is "partial 16S ribosomal RNA". It matches the Rfam family "Bacterial small subunit ribosomal RNA", at positions 28 to 507 of the family's 1533-position model. The record is from RNAcentral.